RNAcentral lists this ribosomal RNA (254 nucleotides) under uncultured bacterium. RNAcentral describes it as "partial 16S ribosomal RNA". It matches the Rfam family "Bacterial small subunit ribosomal RNA", at positions 524 to 776 of the family's 1533-position model. The record is from RNAcentral.
UACGUAGGGGGCUAGCGUUGUCCGGAAUCAUUGGGCGUAAAGCGCGUGUAGGCGGUCCGGUAAGUCCGCUGUGAAAGUCGGGGGCUCAACCCUCGGAUGCCGGUGGAUACUGUCGGGCUUGAGUACGGAAGAGGCGAGUGGAAUUCCUGGUGUAGCGGUGAAAUGCGUAGAGAUCCGGGGGGAACACCCGUGGCGAAGGCGGCCAGCUGGGCCGACCCUGACACUGAGGCGCGAAGGCGUGGGGAGCGAACGGG